AUCCAGGUGAUGAGUCUCAAAUACGACGAAAUGCGCAUCCUGGAU
Molecule: non-coding RNA, 45 nt
Filed under: Trichobilharzia regenti
Lineage: Eukaryota; Metazoa; Platyhelminthes; Trematoda; Strigeidida; Schistosomatidae
Source: RNAcentral